This 492-nucleotide ribosomal RNA is filed under the name uncultured bacterium. RNAcentral describes it as "partial 16S ribosomal RNA". It matches the Rfam family "Bacterial small subunit ribosomal RNA", at positions 29 to 507 of the family's 1533-position model. The record is from RNAcentral.
AGUGAACGCUGGCGGUAGGCCUAACACAUGCAAGUCGAACGGCAGCACAGUAAGAGCUUGCUCUUACGGGUGGCGAGUGGCGGACGGGUGAGGAAUACAUCGGAAUCUACUUUUUCGUGGGGGAUAACGUAGGGAAACUUACGCUAAUACCGCAUACGACCUACGGGUGAAAGCAGGGGAUCUUCGGACCUUGCGCGAUUGAAUGAGCCGGUGUCGGAUUAGCUAGUUGGCGGGGUAAAGGCCCACCAAGGCGACGAUCCGUAGCUGGUCUGAGAGGAUGAUCAGCCACACUGGAACUGAGACACGGUCCAGACUCCUACGGGAGGCAGCAGUGGGGAAUAUUGGACAAUCGGCGCAAGCCUGAUCCAGCCAUACCGCGUGGGUGAAGAAGGCCUUCGGGUUGUAAAGCCCCUUUGUUGGGAAAGAAAAGCAGCAGGUUAAUACCCCGCUGUUCUGACGGUACCCAAAGAAUAAGCACCGGCUAACUUCGUG